GAUGAAGAACGCAGCGAAAUGCGAUACUUGGUGUGAUUUGCAGAAUCCCGUGAACCAUCGAGUCUUUGAACGCAAGUUGCGCCUCAAGCCAUUAGGUUGAGGGCACGUCUGCCUGGGCGUCACAUAUCGUUGCCUGAUGCCAGUUUCCUCGUGAUGGGUGACUGUGCAGGGCGAAUGAUGGCUUCCCGUGAGCAUUGUUGCCUCAUGGUUGGUUGAAAAUUGAGUCCUUGGUAGGGAGCGCCGUGAUAGAUGGUGGUUGAGUGACGAACGAGACCCAAUCAUGUGAGACCCCUACCGAAUUUGGCCUUCAUGACCCACAUGCGUCUUUGGAACGCUCAUGACGAGACCUCAGGUCAGGCGGGGCUACCCGCUGAGUUUAAGCAUAUCAAUAAGCGGAGGA
Molecule: unclassified non-coding RNA, 400 nt
Filed under: soil metagenome
Description: partial contains 5.8S ribosomal RNA, internal transcribed spacer 2, and large subunit ribosomal RNA
Rfam family: 5.8S ribosomal RNA (bases 1-122)
Source: RNAcentral